Molecule: ribosomal RNA, 320 nt
Filed under: uncultured bacterium
Lineage: Bacteria
Description: bacterial SSU rRNA
Rfam family: Bacterial small subunit ribosomal RNA
Source: RNAcentral
GCGUCCGAUUAGCUAGUUGGUAGGGUAAUGGCCUACCAAGGCGACGAUCGGUAAUUGGUCUGAGAGGAUGACCAGUCACACUGGAACUGAGACACGGUCCAGACUCCUACGGGAGGCAGCAGUAAGGAAUAUUCGGCAAUGGGGGGAAACCCUGACCGAGCGACGCCGCGUGCAGGAUGACGGCCUUCGGGUUGUAAACUGCUUUUAUUGGGGAAGAUUAUGACGGUACCCAAUGAAUAAGGGCCGGCUAACUACGUGCCAGCAGCCGCGGUAAUACGUAGGGCCCAAGCGCUAUCCGGAAUCACUGGGCGUAAAGAGUU